CCUACGGGGGGCAGCAGUGGGGAAUAUUGCACAAUGGGGGAAACCCUGAUGCAGCGACGCCGCGUGAGUGAAGAAGUAUUUCGGUAUGUAAAGCUCUAUCAGCAGGGAAGAAAAUGACGGUACCUGAUUAAGAAGCCCCGGCUAACUACGUGCCAGCAGCCGCGGUAAUACGUCGGGGGCAAGCGUUAUCCGGAUUUACUGGGUGUAAAGGGAGCGUAGACGGCAGCGGAAGUAUGAAGGGAAAUGCCGGGGCUGAACCCCGGAACUGCGUUGGAAACUGUGCAGAUAGAGUGCAGGAGAGGUAAGUGGAAUUCGUGGGGUAGCGGUGAAAUGCGUAGAUAUUAGGAGGAACGCCAGUGGCGAAGGCGGCUUACUGGACUGUAACUGACGUUGAGGCUCGAAAGCGUGGGGAGCAAACAGGAUUAGAUACCCUUGUAGUC
Molecule: ribosomal RNA, 440 nt
Filed under: uncultured bacterium
Lineage: Bacteria
Description: partial 16S ribosomal RNA
Rfam family: Bacterial small subunit ribosomal RNA
Source: RNAcentral